RNAcentral lists this ribosomal RNA (533 nucleotides) under uncultured bacterium. RNAcentral's name for it is "bacterial SSU rRNA". It matches the Rfam family "Bacterial small subunit ribosomal RNA", at positions 777 to 1307 of the family's 1533-position model. The record is from RNAcentral.
AAUAGAUACCCCGGUAGUCCACGCCGUAAACGAUGAGUGCUAAGUGUUAGAGGGUUUCCGCCCUUUAGUGCUGCAGCAAACGCAUUAAGCAUUCCGCCUGGGGGAGUACGGCCGCAAGGCUGAAACUCAAAGGAAUUGACGGGGGCCCGCACAAGCGGUGGAGCAUGUGGUUUAAUUCGAAGCAACGCGAAGAACCUUACCAGGUCUUGACAUCCUCUGCCACUCCUAGAGAUAGGACGUUCCCCUUCGGGGGACAGAGUGACAGGUGGUGCAUGGUUGUCGUCAGCUCGUGUCGUGAGAUGUUGGGUUAAGUCCCGCAACGAGCGCAACCCUUGAUCUUAGUUGCCAGCAUUCAGUUGGGCACUCUAAGGUGACUGCCGGUGACAAACCGGAGGAAGGUGGGGAUGACGUCAAAUCAUCAUGCCCCUUAUGACCUGGGCUACACACGUGCUACAAUGGAUGGUACAAAGGGUCGCAAAACCGCGAGGUCGAGCCAAUCCCACAAAACCAUUCUCAGUUCGGAUUGCAGGCUG